UCUCUAGAAAUCCACAGCAACACUUGAACCGCUGAACAAAUAUAGUCUGGAUUCCUGAGACCAAAGGGCUCGGGAAAAUCGCUGAAAACCCGCUAUACUGGAACAGCUGCUCUCUGCCAGAACAUCAAUCAAAGGGCAGCUUACUGGAACCUUGAAGACCACCUAAGGAGCUACUUCCCCUGUUUUAAGAUAAACUGAAGCCCAGAAGUGUAUUGUGGAAGCUGGAGUCAGAGUUUGACUCCUGAUCCUCUCACUGAAUGUGUGGAGGCUGACGUCCGACAUUGCGCGAAUACUUGCUGUGAUCCUUGCCUACGUAGUACGGAGGCCAGAGGUGUCCCAGGACAGACGCCCUCAAGAGGCCCACCCUUGCUCCUGGCAGAUCCAGGUGGACGUGCGUAGGCCAUCUCCCAUCAAACACUCCUCCGGUCUGUAAGCAAAAGGAUUUGGUUAUUAAGGGCUAAGGUGUGGUGGACAGGCAUCUAUUGCUUCAGGGCAGCCUUGGGGAAAACCGCCCCAGAGGUGAAUUAAACCCAAUCGCUGCUUCGGGGAGUUCAGUUUUGAGACAGGCCACAAGUAAACGAACAGAUGAGCUAGAAAAUUACAGAUUAUUUCAGUGCUAUGAAG
Leopardus geoffroyi (Geoffroy's cat) is the source of this 624-nucleotide long non-coding RNA. RefSeq lists it as uncharacterized. The record is from RefSeq and is a predicted model, not a curated record. The transcript is spliced from 4 exons. Lineage: Eukaryota; Metazoa; Chordata; Mammalia; Carnivora; Felidae.